This 509-nucleotide ribosomal RNA is filed under the name uncultured bacterium. RNAcentral's name for it is "bacterial SSU rRNA". It matches the Rfam family "Bacterial small subunit ribosomal RNA", at positions 340 to 865 of the family's 1533-position model. The record is from RNAcentral.
UACGGGAGGCAGCAGUGGGGAAUAUUGCACAAUGGAGGAAACUCUGAUGCAGCAACGCCGCGUGGAGGAUGACACAUUUCGGUGCGUAAACUCCUUUUAUUAGGGAAGAUAAUGACGGUACCUAAUGAAUAAGCACCGGCUAACUCCGUGCCAGCAGCCGCGGUAAUACGGGGGGUGCAAGCGUUACUCGGAAUCACUGGGCGUAAAGAGCAUGUAGGCUGUUUAUUAAGUUGGAAGUGAAAUCCUAUGGCUCAACCAUAGAACUGCUUCCAAAACUGGUUAUCUAGAGUAUGGGAGAGGUAGAUGGAAUUUCUGGUGUAGGGGUAAAAUCCGUAGAGAUCAGAAGGAAUACCGAUUGCGAAGGCGAUCUACUGGAACAUUACUGACGCUGAGAUGCGAAAGCGUGGGGAGCAAACAGGAUUAGAUACCCUGGUAGUCCACGCCCUAAACGAUGCACACUAGUUGUUGCUAUGCUAGANCAUAGCAGUAAUGCAGNUAACACAGUAAGU